GAUGAACGCUGGCGGCGUGCCUAAUACAUGCAAGUCGAGCGAACAGACGAGGAGCUUGCUCCUCUGACGUUAGCGGCGGACGGGUGAGUAACACGUGGAUAACCUACCUAUAAGACUGGGAUAACUUCGGGAAACCGGAGCUAAUACCGGAUAAUAUAUUGAACCGCAUGGUUCAAUAGUGAACGACGGUUUUGCUGUCACUUAUAGAUGGAUCCGCGCCGCAUUAGCUAGUUGGUAAGGUAACGGCUUACCAAGGCAACGAUGCGUAGCCGACCUGAGAGGGUGAUCGGCCACACUGGAACUGAGACACGGUCCAGACUCCUACGGGAGGCAGCAGUAGGGAAUCUUCCGCAAUGGGCGAAAGCCUGACGGAGCAACGCCGCGUGAGUGAUGAAGGUCUUCGGAUCGUAAAACUCUGUUAUUAGGGAAGAACAAAUGUGUAAGUAACUAUGCACGUCUUGACGGUACCUAAUCAGAAAGCCACGGCUAACUACGUG
Molecule: ribosomal RNA, 497 nt
Filed under: uncultured bacterium
Lineage: Bacteria
Description: partial 16S ribosomal RNA
Rfam family: Bacterial small subunit ribosomal RNA
Source: RNAcentral